GCCGAGAGGAUACUGCAGAGGUCUCUUUGGUGUAUGUGUGAGGCUCUCCUCUCAGGGAGAAUGCAGCAGUUGUAAAUAGUUGGCAACCCUUUGCAACAAAAAAAUCGGGCCAAUUCCCACUAAGGGCACGCUAUCAUCCAGGCUCUAGGAGAUCCUGUCAUCCCUCACUGCAGAUGAGUGAUUUUCCUCUUUCUCAGCACAAGUGGACAUGAAGCUUUUUCAACAUCUUUUCUAAUAUGGAUUCCUUCACUCCUACCUGUUUGAGAUGAAGGAAAAUCUCCGUCUUGGUCUCAGCUGGAAGAGAAUACUGCUGCUCUGGAAAGAAAUGAUUUUAAUGCCAGCUUCUCUACUGCAUCUAUUUGCUGCAUUGGGUGCACUGCAGUAAAGCUGUACAGAGUAGAACUCGCCCAUCAUUCGCUCGGCAGUUUUGUAGUACAAAUGUAUACCCUUCCAUUCUUAUGAUUGCUAAUGAAGAAGAAUUAUAAAAAUUAGACAGAUUAAC
This is a long non-coding RNA of Vombatus ursinus (common wombat), 502 nucleotides long. RefSeq lists it as uncharacterized. The record is from RefSeq and is a predicted model, not a curated record. Lineage: Eukaryota; Metazoa; Chordata; Mammalia; Diprotodontia; Vombatidae. The transcript is spliced from 3 exons.